This 774-nucleotide ribosomal RNA is filed under the name uncultured Neocallimastigales. Its description in RNAcentral is "partial large subunit ribosomal RNA". It matches the Rfam family "Eukaryotic large subunit ribosomal RNA", at positions 22 to 643 of the family's 3401-position model. The record is from RNAcentral. Lineage: Eukaryota; Fungi; Neocallimastigomycota; Neocallimastigomycetes; Neocallimastigales.
CAUAGCGACUAUCGUGGCAUAUCAAUAAGCGGAGGAAAAGAAACUAACAAGGAUUCCCUUAGUAACGGCGAGUGAAGCGGGAAGAGCUCAAAUUUGAAAUCUUCAAGGUUUGACCUUGACGAAUUGUAGUUUAAAGAAGUGUUUUCGGUUAGAGGAGUAGUAAAAGUUCUUUGGAAUAGGACAUCAUAGAGGGUGAGAAUCCCGUAUUUGACUAUUCUUUCUAGCUUUGUGAUACACUUUCAAAGAGUCGGAUUGUUUGGGAAUGCAGUCCAAAAUGGGUGGUAAAUUUCAUCUAAAGCUAAAUAUUGGCGAGAGACCGAUAGCGAACAAGUACCGUGAGGGAAAGAUGAAAAGAACUUUGAAAAGAGAGUUAAACAGUACGUGAAAUUGUCAAAAGGGAAGCGUUUGACACCAGUGUUGUUUUUCCGAAAAUCAAUUAAAAAUUGAUUCAUGCCAGGUUGUAUUGACCUUAUCAGCUUGCAAUUUGGUUUUGGGUCUCUUUUUGAUGCACUUUUCGGUUAACAAGUCAACAUCAAUUUCCUUUGCUGUAAAAAGGUAAGAGGAAGGUGGCUUCAAUUUCGGUUGAAGUGUUUAUAGCCUUUUAUCUCUGCAGUCGGGGAGAUUGAGGUCUGCAGCGUAGAUCCUUCGGGGCUAGAUACAUUUGUGCUAAGCUAUAGCCUUUCAUAGACAACUUGUUGACUAUGAUCAGUCAUGUAGCUUACUCGCUUAUGCUAUUUUACCUACGCUUAGGAUGUUGAUAUGCAUGACUGAUAU